UGAGGCAAUUAGGAGAAAACGAAAAAAAAAAAAAAGGACAAAAAGCCAAAGGGAGUUGGGGAAAGGGGUACGCAGCAUAUCUGCUUCAAUUGAAACAGAAGCUGAAGAAAAGAGUUUGAGACAAAAAAAAUCCUUUAGCCAACAAUAUAUCAACCAGGAAAAAAUAAAGAAAGGAAAAGUUACUGGUGUUCUUAGCGCCAGAGUACCGUGCUUCACUAAAAUAUUGGCAUAUGUUUUCUAUAUUCAACAAUAGAUUCCAGAGACAGCAGUUGACGCAGGUGAAGGUUUUGUUAAUUAGAGCGCGUAGGUUGAUACUUCUUGGUGAGCCCUGCACUCAAUCGCGUGGGCGAAGAGUUUUAUUUAUUUGCUAUAGUCUUUUCUUUUGAACUCUUAGAUUCGCUCCAUAGUCAUUCUUUUAGUGACAUGAGUAUUCUUUCGUUAUUAUAGAUUUAAGAUGAGUAUUGCAUUUUCUUAUCGAAUUGGAGAUAAAUUAGUAUUGCUGGUUGUUAGUGUGUUAAUUAUUAAUGGUGGAGACUUGUUUUGAUUAAUUGAUAAAUUGUUGGUUGGUUGGUUUGAUAUUA
Nicotiana tabacum (common tobacco) is the source of this 581-nucleotide long non-coding RNA. RefSeq lists it as uncharacterized. Lineage: Eukaryota; Viridiplantae; Streptophyta; Magnoliopsida; Solanales; Solanaceae. The record is from RefSeq and is a predicted model, not a curated record.